Molecule: ribosomal RNA, 515 nt
Filed under: uncultured bacterium
Lineage: Bacteria
Description: partial 16S ribosomal RNA
Rfam family: Bacterial small subunit ribosomal RNA
Source: RNAcentral
GAUGAACGCUGGCGGCGUGCCUAAUACAUGCAAGUCGAGCGAAUGGAUUAAGAGCUUGCUCUUAUGAAGUUAGCGGCGGACGGGUGAGUAACACGUGGGUAACCUGCCCAUAAGACUGGGAUAACUCCGGGAAACCGGGGCUAAUACCGGAUAACAUUUUGAACCGCAUGGUUCGAAAUUGAAAGGCGGCUUCGGCUGUCACUUAUGGAUGGACCCGCGUCGCAUUAGCUAGUUGGUGAGGUAACGGCUCACCAAGGCAACGAUGCGUAGCCGGACUGAGGGGGUGAUCGGCCACACGAGGACUGCGACACGGCCCAGACUCCUACGGGAGGCAGCAGUAAGGAAUCUUCCGCAAUGGACGAAAGUCUGACGGAGCAACUCCGCGUGAGUGAUGAAGUCUUUCGGUUCGUAAAACUCUGUUGUUAGGGAAGAACAAGUGCUAGUUGAAUAAGCUGGCACCUUGACGGUACCUAAGCAGAAAGCCACGGCUAACUACGUGCCAGCCGCCGCUGUAA